This 541-nucleotide ribosomal RNA is filed under the name uncultured bacterium. Its description in RNAcentral is "bacterial SSU rRNA". It matches the Rfam family "Bacterial small subunit ribosomal RNA", at positions 355 to 887 of the family's 1533-position model. The record is from RNAcentral.
UGGGGAAUAUUGCGCAAUGGAGGCAACUCUGACGCAGCCAUGCCGCGUGUGUGAAGAAGGCCCUCGGGUUGUAAAGCACUUUCAAUUGGGAGAAAAAGCUUGUCGUUAAUAGCGGCAAGCCUUGAUGUUACCUUUAGAAGAAGCACCGGCUAACUCCGUGCCAGCAGCCGCGGUAAUACGGAGGGUGCGAGCGUUAAUCGGAAUUACUGGGCGUAAAGCGCGCGUAGGCGGUUGCUUAAGUCGGAUGUGAAAGCCCCGGGCUCAACCUGGGAACUGCAUUCGAUACUGGGCGACUAGAGUACGAGAGAGGGAGGUAGAAUUCCACGUGUAGCGGUGAAAUGCGUAGAUAUGUGGAGGAAUACCGGUGGCGAAGGCGGCCUCCUGGCUCGAUACUGACGCUGAGGUGCGAAAAGCGUGGGGAGCAAAACAGGAUUAGAUACCCUGGUAGUCCACGCCGUAAACGAUGUCUACUAGCCGUUGGGGUACUUGAGACCUUAGUGGCGCAGCUAACGCACUAAGUAGACCGCCUGGGAGUACGGCC